RNAcentral lists this ribosomal RNA (252 nucleotides) under uncultured bacterium. RNAcentral's name for it is "partial 16S ribosomal RNA". It matches the Rfam family "Bacterial small subunit ribosomal RNA", at positions 524 to 775 of the family's 1533-position model. The record is from RNAcentral.
UACGAAGGGGGCUAGCGUUGCUCGGAAUUACUGGGCGUAAAGCGCACGUAGGCGGUCUUUUAAGUCGGGGGAUGAAAUCCUGGAGCUCAACUCCAGAACUGCCUCGAUACUGGAAGACUCGAGUCCGGGAGAGGUGAGUGGAACUGCGAGUGUAGAGGUGAAAUUCGUAGAUAUUCGCAAGAACACCAGUGGCGAAGGCGGCUCACUGGCCCGGUACUGACGCUGAGGUGCGAAAGCGUGGGGAGCAACAGG